Non-coding RNA from Glossina austeni, 83 nucleotides. The record is from Rfam. NCBI's taxonomy places the organism in Eukaryota, Metazoa, Arthropoda, Insecta, Diptera, Glossinidae.
GCCGAAGUGGCGAAAUUAGGUAAACGCAAUUGAUUCAAAAUCAAUCGUCUCAUGACUUGUCGGUUCAAAUCCGACCUUCGGCA